Molecule: long non-coding RNA, 322 nt
Filed under: Brassica rapa (field mustard)
Lineage: Eukaryota; Viridiplantae; Streptophyta; Magnoliopsida; Brassicales; Brassicaceae
Description: long non-coding RNA (BRAP_LNC008520)
Source: RNAcentral
UUAGCAAACUCAUUACUUAACAGGAGCAAGCAUUUUACUCUUUAAACACUAAACAAGCCUUUAAAGCAUCCUGGGACAGAUUCAACUAAUUAUAUUUAGCAAUCACACAUUAUCCUCAGGUUUUUCAAUCAAUACACAUCACACUAACCAGGCAAUAACACAACACAAGCUCAUUAUCAAGAAGGUUUUAAAGAAUCGCUUACACAAGGAACCAGGUUGGUUCCUUAAGCCUCCAAAGGCAAUCUGGCCAUGAUAUGGUUGGAUUCAAGAGUCUAGGUCGUCACCCAACUCCUUCUCCUUCAGUCCAUGGCCUCCUUCUUGU